AUUGAACGCUGGCGGCAGGCCUAACACAUGCAAGUCGAACGGUAACAGGAAGCAGCUUGCUGCUUCACUGACGAGUGGCGGACGGGUGAGUAAUGUCUGGGAAACUGCCUGAUGGAGGGGGAUAACUACUGGAAACGGUAGCUACUACCGCAUAACGUCGCAAGACCAAAGAGGGGGACCUUAGGGCCUCUUGCCAUCGGAUGUGCCCAGAUGGGAUUAGCUAGUAGGUGGGGUAACGGCUCACCUAGGCGACGAUCCCUAGCUGGUCUGAGAGGAUGACCGGCGACACUGGAGGUGGGACGCAGACCAGGCUCCUACGAGACGCAGCAGUGGGGAAUAUGGGACAGUGGGGGGAAGUCUGAUGCAGCGAGGGGGAGUGUAUUAAGGAGGCGUUCGGUUUGUGAAGUACGUUCAGCGGGGGGGAAGGGAGUAAAGCUGUUACCUAGGCUGAGUGACGGUACUGGCAGAAGAAGCGCCGGCUAACUACGUG
RNAcentral lists this ribosomal RNA (490 nucleotides) under uncultured bacterium. RNAcentral's name for it is "partial 16S ribosomal RNA". It matches the Rfam family "Bacterial small subunit ribosomal RNA", at positions 29 to 507 of the family's 1533-position model. The record is from RNAcentral.